Long non-coding RNA from Poecilia latipinna (sailfin molly), 761 nucleotides. RefSeq lists it as uncharacterized. The record is from RefSeq and is a predicted model, not a curated record. Lineage: Eukaryota; Metazoa; Chordata; Actinopteri; Cyprinodontiformes; Poeciliidae. The transcript is spliced from 4 exons.
AGUGUACACUCAAUGACCACAUUUUUUGCUUUACCCUUUGUACAUAACAUCACAAUUUUACGAAGUGUCCCACUCCGCCAUUUCUAUUCAACGUACAUGUGCAUUAACUCUUACAAAGCUCGUCAAUCGCCAGGCAGUUGCUUUUGACAACUAACGUUGCUUUAUUCACUGUAGAAUAGGAUGCUGCGACAAGGAUGCAAACCAAACUUCUCACUUCAUUGUAAACCUUUUGAUGAGAAAAGACAACAGACAGUAGCUGUUAACUGUGAGAAUGGGCAGCCCUUUCUGUAUUCACAGAUUUGAGGGGAACAUUUUUCACAAGAUCCGUAAAGAGAAGGAAACUCUGGAAACUGGAAGUGGUGAAGCCUUGGAGCAAGAACGCCGGUGGCGAGGAACAAUAGCAUGCGGUGAAGUCCUGAGCAGCAGCCAAAGUCAGGAAGAACGCCAUCCAGAGCCUCAGCAGGAGCUCGCUGCCUCAUCAUAGCCACAGCGGAAAGCAGGCUUGCAUUCGCACCCCAGAUCUUCCAGUCACUCGCACGGAGGGAGGACACGGAUGAACUGAUGAACAGAUCUUGUAAAGCCAGGCUGCAGUCAGCUGUGAAGAGUCAUUUGUCUUCGCAUGAAAUAAAAUGCACUUUCCAAAGUAGAGUUUUCCAUUUCUUUUGUUUUGUUUUUUUGUUUCUUCUGCUAAGCUCCACUUCUCUCUAUCGCCCUCCAAGCAUGUCCCUGAAGUGCAUCUUUUAUUAAAACCACAUGCAGGG